Helianthus annuus (common sunflower) is the source of this 128-nucleotide non-coding RNA. Lineage: Eukaryota; Viridiplantae; Streptophyta; Magnoliopsida; Asterales; Asteraceae. The record is from Rfam.
UAAAAGGGUCGGUUGGCUAAAUAUGCCACGCUCGCCCAUAGAAAGGUGAGUGCUGUAUGGCUAUCAAGACAUAUGGCUGACAUAAUUUGUGGCAACUUAUAGGGUUGGCUCCUUUGGCCGACCCUCCA